AUACGGAGGGUGCAAGCGUUAUCCGGAAUCAUUGGGUUUAAAGGGUCCGUAGGCGGGCAAAUAAGUCAGAGGUGAAAUCCCACAGCUCAACUGUGGAACUGCCUUGGAUACUGUUUGUCUUGAGUUAUAGUGAAGUAGAUAGAAUAUGUAGUGUAGCGGUGAAAUGCAUAGAUAUUACAUAGAAUACCGAUUGCGAAGGCAGUCUACUAACUAUUGACUGACGCUAAUGGACGAAAGCGUGGGGAGCGAACAGGAUUAGAAACCCUGGUAGUCC
Molecule: ribosomal RNA, 274 nt
Filed under: uncultured bacterium
Lineage: Bacteria
Description: partial 16S ribosomal RNA
Rfam family: Bacterial small subunit ribosomal RNA
Source: RNAcentral